CACCAAGACGACGACGGGUAGCCGGCCUGAGAGGGCGACCGGCCACACUGGGACUGAGACCGGCCCAGACUCCUACGGGAGGCAGCAGUGGGGAAUAUUGCACAAUGGGGGAAACCCUGAUGCAGCGACGCAGCGUGCGGGAUGACGGCCUUCGGGUUGUAAACCGCUUUCAGCAGGGAAGAAGCGCAAGUGACGGUACCUGCAGAAGAAGUACCGGCUAACUACGUGCCAGCAGCCGCGGUAAUACGUAGGGUACGAGCGUUGUCCGGAAUUAUUGGGCGUAAAGAGCUCGUAGGUGGUUGGUCACGUCUGCUGUGGAAACGCAACGCUUAACGUUGCGCGUGCAGUGGGUACGGGCUGACUAGAGUGCAGUAGGGGAGUCUGGAAUUCCUGGUGUAGCGGUGAAAUGCGCAGAUAUCAGGAGGAACACCGGUGGCGAAGGCGGGACUCUGGGCUGUAACUGACACUGAGGAGCGAAAGCAUGGGGAGCGAACAGGAUUAGAUACCCUGGUAGUCCAUGCCGUAAACGUUGGGCACUAGGUGUGGGGGGCAUUCCACGUUCUCCGCGCCGUAGCUAACGCAUUAAGUGCCCCGCC
Molecule: ribosomal RNA, 596 nt
Filed under: Brevibacterium sp. CMT8
Lineage: Bacteria; Bacillati; Actinomycetota; Actinomycetes; Micrococcales; Brevibacteriaceae
Description: bacterial SSU rRNA
Rfam family: Bacterial small subunit ribosomal RNA
Source: RNAcentral